AGAGUUUGAUCCUGGCUCAGGACGAACGCUGGCGGCGCGCUUAACACAUGCAAGUCGUACGGGCAGCUUCGGCUGUCAGUGGCGAACGGGUGCGUAACACGUGGGCGACCUGCCGGGGCGCGGGGGACAACCCAGGGAAACUUGGGCUAAUACCGCAUGCGCUCAACGAGCUUCAUGGCUUGUUGAGGAAACCUGCUUUCAAGCAGGGUGCUCCGAGGGGCCCGCGGCGUAUCAGGUAGUUGGUGAGGUAACGGCUCACCAAGCCGACGACGCGUAGCUGGUCUGAGAGGACGACCGGCCACAUUGGGACUGAGAUACGGCCCAGACUCCUACGGGAGGCAGCAGUGGGGAAUCUUGCGCAAUGGACGAAAGUCUGACGCAGCGACGCCGCGUGCGGGAGGAAGCCCUUCGGGGUGUAAACCGCUGUCACCGGGGAAGAACGCCGUAGGGAGGAAAUGCCUUACGGGUGACGGUACCCGGGGAGGAAGCACCGGCUAACUCUGUGCCAGCAGCCGCGGUAAUACAGAGGGUGCGAGCGUUGUUCGGAAUUACUGGGCGUAAAGCGCGCGCAGGCGGCCUUUUAAGUCUCACCGUUCAAGCCCGGAGCUCAACUCCGGUCCGCGGGGGAUACUGGGAGGCUAGGGACAUGUAGGGGCGAGCGGAAUUCCGGGUGUAGCGGUGGAAUGCGUAGAGAUCCGGAAGAACACCGGGGGCGAAGGCGGCUCGCUGGGCAUGGUCCGACGCUGAGGCGCGAAAGCGUGGGGAGCGAACAGGAUUAGAUACCCCCGUAGUCC
This 794-nucleotide ribosomal RNA is filed under the name uncultured soil bacterium. RNAcentral describes it as "bacterial SSU rRNA". It matches the Rfam family "Bacterial small subunit ribosomal RNA", at positions 8 to 796 of the family's 1533-position model. The record is from RNAcentral.